UACGGAGGGUGCGAGCGUUGUCCGGAUUUAUUGGGUUUAAAGGGUGCGUAGGCGGCCCGUUAAGUCGGCGGUGAAAGUCUGUGGCUCAACCAUGGAACUGCCGUUGAUACUGGCGGGCUUGAGUGCCGGUGGGGUACAUGGAAUUGAUGGUGUAGCGGUGAAAUGCAUAGAUACCAUCAGGAACACCGAUAGCGUAGGCAUUGUACUUACCGGCAACUGACGCUGAGGCACGAAAGCGCGGGUAUCGAACAGG
Molecule: ribosomal RNA, 253 nt
Filed under: uncultured bacterium
Lineage: Bacteria
Description: partial 16S ribosomal RNA
Rfam family: Bacterial small subunit ribosomal RNA
Source: RNAcentral